RNAcentral lists this ribosomal RNA (560 nucleotides) under uncultured archaeon. RNAcentral describes it as "bacterial SSU rRNA". It matches the Rfam family "Archaeal small subunit ribosomal RNA", at positions 318 to 879 of the family's 1478-position model. The record is from RNAcentral.
UCGCCCUUCGGGGUGCCCAGGCGCGAAAACUUUACAAUGCCGGCAACGGCGAUAAGGGGACCUCGAGUGCCAGGUUACAAAUCUGGCUGUCGUGAUGCCUAAAAAGCAUUGCAUAGCAAGGGCCGGGCAAGACCGGUGCCAGCCGCCGCGGUAACACCGGCGGCUCGAGUGGUAACCGUUAUUAUUGGGUCUAAAGGGUCUGUAGCCGGCCGGAUAAGUCUCUUGGGAAAUCUGGCAGCUUAACUGUCAGGCUUUCAGGAGAUACUGUCUGGCUCGAGGCCGGGAGAGGUGAGAGGUACUUCAGGGGUAGGGGUGAAAUCUUGUAAUCCUUGAAGGACCACCAGUGGCGAAGGCGUCUCACCAGAACGGACCUGACGGCAAGGGACGAAAGCUAGGGGCACGAACCGGAUUAGAUACCCGGGUAGUCCUAGCCGUAAACGAUACUCGCUAGGUGUCGGCCACGGUGCGACCGUGGUCGGUGCCGUAGGGAAGCCGUGAAGCGAGCCACCUGGGAAGUACGGCCGCAAGGCUGAAACUUAAAGGAAUUGGCGGGGGAGCAC